AACAUGGCGGCGCUGAGGAGAGUUUGCAGAGUUACUAUAAACAUUAACUUUUAAGCGAAUAAAAUCCAUCAAUGAGUAAAAUAAACGCAACAAAGUUUCCGUAUUAUAUGAUGUUUAGCACACGUUUGCAGAGACAUGCAAAAUGGUAAACGAUCUUCUCUAUUUAUACUCAUAAACCUGUAAAAACUACUGCCAUUGUAGUUUUGUUUGUUUCUACAUUAUUCGAGUAUCGGACAAUAGACCGCCGCAUGUUUGAAAACCGGAUCAAGUAGGAAUAUCCAGCAUCCGACAUUGAAUAAUACGGGCUAACUGCAUACACGUACAUUAGAGAUUAAACAGUGCUGUAAAUAAGAAGAAUAACUCCAGGUGUUACAAUUGAGACCUGCGUGAUAAAUCAUUGUAAAAUGAUGUUUAUUAAAGAAGAAAGUGAGGACAUGAGUUAUCCAGAACCAUGCUGUUCAAAUGCUAUGAAAGAUGAAGAGACUGAGGAACAAAGAGAGCUGAUGAAAGUGAAAGAGGAAAGUAAGGAACUGAAUGAAGAGGAGAAACAUCAGUAUCAGAAACAUGAUCAUUUAAAAACUGAAGAAAACUCUUUUAGUUGCUUACAGUUGAAAAAGAAACGCUCACAAAAAAGAACUCGAAGAACAAAAACAAAAAAAUCUCUUACCUGCCCUCAUUGUGGAAAGAGAUUCACACAUAAAGGAAACCUUAAUGUCCACAUAAGAAUUCACACUGGAGAGAAGCCUUUCACAUGUCCACAUUGUAUGAAGAGUUUCACAGAAAAAGGCAACCUUUUUAAUCACGUAAGAAUUCACACUGGAGAGAAGCCUUUCACAUGCCCUCAUUGUAUGAAGAGUUUCAAACGUAAAGAAUAUGUUACUAAGCACAUGAGAACUCACACUGGAGAGAGGCCUUUCAUCUGCAAUCAGUGUGGAAAGAGUUAUUUAAAAAAAGAAGAUCUUAAGCGUCACAUGCGAAUUCACACUGGCGAGAAGCCUUUCAAAUGUCAUGAAUGUGGGAAGAGUUUCAUAUGGGCAUAUAGUCUCAAAAACCAUCUGCUCUUUCAUACUGGAGAAAAGUCAUAUAGCUGUGAUCAGUGCUACAAAACAUUUUCUUCAGCAUCACUCUUAAGAACACACCGGACAAUUCAUCCAAUUAAGAAGCCUUACUUGUGUUCACUUUGUGGAAAGAGUUUUUUACAUGUGCAAAAUUUGAAAGAUCAUCAGAACUUGCACACCGGUGUGCGAGAUCAUGUGUGCUCUGAGUGUGGGAAGGCCUUUUACAGAGCUUCUAACUUGGAACGUCACAAAAGAAUCCACACUGGAGAAAAACCUUACAAGUGUUCACAUUGUGGAAAAAGAUUCAGUCAGUCAGGAGCCCUGAAAUCACAUGAGAGAGUGCAUACUGGAGAGAAGCCAUACAAAUGCACUUCAUGUGGUAAGAGCUUUAUAACAUCAGCACACCUGAAAAAACAUGAGAGAGUGCAUACUGGAGAGAAGCCAUACCACUGCACUUCAUGUGGAAAGAGUUUCACACAAUCGAGCACUCUACAGACUCAUAGAAAAAAACAUUGUCACAGUGAGCAAAGUUUAUCUUUAUUCGCUAUGUAAAUGGGAUGAAAUUCAGAAAAAAAAAAGUAUCAAAUCACAUUGCAUUUGGACUUGUGAGCAUUGAUUUAAUUAUUCUGAUAAUGUUUAAAGCUACACUAUGUACAUUUUGGCCCUCUAGCGGUUGAAGCAUAAAACUCCAGGUUACAUGCGGAGGAACAUUAUUUUGGAACUUACGUGAGUUGGUUUUCAGCUAAUCUGAUAGUUUGAGGAGUAACCAUGGUUACAGGUGAUCAUCUUAUCAGAGUGAAUGUCACUAACGACAACAAAACUCACCCUCUCACCUCAAAAAAAUAAAUAACAAAAGGAAGAGAAAGACGGCUAUCUGAAAAUAUGUCUUAUGAGCAGGGUUUUGUGAUGAGCGAGGCGGGGCCAAGCGACGAUGGUGUGGAGCAAGACUGGAAUGGGCACCUGGAGCGAAUUAUCUCGCCCAGCUGUUGGUGAUUGCGUUGUUGGCGGGCAAGAGACAAAGCCAC
Molecule: RNA transcript, 2083 nt
Organism: Myxocyprinus asiaticus (Chinese sucker)
Lineage: Eukaryota; Metazoa; Chordata; Actinopteri; Cypriniformes; Catostomidae
Gene name: zinc finger protein OZF-like
Exons: 4
Source: RefSeq, a predicted model, not a curated record